UACGUAGGGUGCAAGCGUUGUCCGGAAUUAUUGGGCGUAAAGAGCUCGUAGGCGGUCUGUCGCGUCUGCUGUGAAAACUCGGGGCUUAACCCCGGGCCUGCAGUGGGUACGGGCAGACUAGAGUGUGGUAGGGGAGACUGGAAUUCCUGGUGUAGCGGUGAAAUGCGCAGAUAUCAGGAGGAACACCGAUGGCGAAGGCGGGUCUCUGGGCCGAUACUGACGCUGAGGAGCGAAAGCGUGGGGAGCGAACAGG
Molecule: ribosomal RNA, 253 nt
Filed under: uncultured bacterium
Lineage: Bacteria
Description: partial 16S ribosomal RNA
Rfam family: Bacterial small subunit ribosomal RNA
Source: RNAcentral